Molecule: ribosomal RNA, 409 nt
Filed under: uncultured bacterium
Lineage: Bacteria
Description: partial 16S ribosomal RNA
Rfam family: Bacterial small subunit ribosomal RNA
Source: RNAcentral
UGGGGAAUAUUGCACAAUGGGCGCAAGCCUGAUGCAGCCAUGCCGCGUGUGUGAAGAAGGCCUUCGGGUUGUAAAGCACUUUCAGCGAGGAGGAAGGUGGUGAGCUUAAUACGCUCAUCAAUUGACGUUACUCGCAGAAGAAGCACCGGCUAACUCCGUGCCAGCAGCCGCGGUAAUACGGAGGGUGCAAGCGUUAAUCGGAAUUACUGGGCGUAAAGCGCACGCAGGCGGUUUGUUAAGUCAGAUGUGAAAUCCCCGGGCUCAACCUGGGAACUGCAUUUGAAACUGGCAAGCUAGAGUCUCGUAGAGGGGGGUAGAAUUCCAGGUGUAGCGGUGAAAUGCGUAGAGAUCUGGAGGAAUACCGGUGGCGAAGGCGGCCCCCCUGGACGAAGACUGACGCUCAGGUGCG